UCGAGCGAACGGACGAGAAGCUUGCUUCUCUGAUGUUAGCGGCGGACGGGUGAGUAACACGUGGAUAACCUACCUAUAAGACUGGGAUAACUUCGGGAAACCGGAGCUAAUACCGGAUAAUAUUUUGAACCGCAUGGUUCAAAAGUGAAAGACGGUCUUGCUGUCACUUAUAGAUGGAUCCGCGCUGCAUUAGCUAGUUGGUAAGGUAACGGCUUACCAAGGCAACGAUGCAUAGCCGACCUGAGAGGGUGAUCGGCCACACUGGAACUGAGACACGGUCCAGACUCCUACGGGAGGCAGCAGUAGGGAAUCUUCCGCAAUGGGCGAAAGCCUGACGGAGCAACGCCGCGUGAGUGAUGAAGGUCUUCGGAUCGUAAAACUCUGUUAUUAGGGAAGAACAUAUGUGUAAGUAACUGUGCACAUCUUGACGGUACCUAAUCAGAAAGCCACGGCUAACUACGUGCCAGCAGCCGCGGUAAUACGUAGGUGGCAAGCGUUAUCCGGAAUUAUUGGGCGUAAAGCGCGCGUAGGCGGUUUUUUAAGUCUGAUGUGAAAGCCCACGGCUCAACCGUGGAGGGUCAUUGGAAACUGGAAAACUUGAGUGCAGAAGAGGAAAGUGGAAUUCCAUGUGUAGCGGUGAAAUGCGCAGAGAUAUGGAGGAACACCAGUGGCGAAGGCGACUUUCUGGUCUGUAACUGACGCUGAUGUGCGAAAGCGUGGGGAUCAAACAGGAUUAGAUACCCUGGUAGUCCACGCCGUAAACGAUGAGUGCUAAGUGUUAGGGGGUUUCCGCCCCUUAGUGCUGCAGCUAACGCAUUAAGCACUCCGCCUGGGGAGUACGACCGCAAGGUUGAAACUCAAAGGAAUUGACGGGGACCCGCACAAGCGGUGGAGCAUGUGGUUUAAUUCGAAGCAACGCGAAGAACCUUACCAAAUCUUGACAUCCUUUGACAACUCUAGAGAUAGAGCCUUCCCCUUCGGGGGACAAAGUGACAGGUGGUGCAUGGUUGUCGUCAGCUCGUGUCGUGAGAUGUUGGGUUAAGUCCCGCAACGAGCGCAACCCUUAAGCUUAGUUGCCAUCAUUAAGUUGGGCACUCUAAGUUGACUGCCGGUGACAAACCGGAGGAAGGUGGGGAUGACGUCAAAUCAUCAUGCCCCUUAUGAUUUGGGCUACACACGUGCUACAAUGGACAAUACAAAGGGUAGCGAAACCGCGAGGUCAAGCAAAUCCCAUAAAGUUGUUCUCAGUUCGGAUUGUAGUCUGCAACUCGACUACAUGAAGCUGGAAUCGCUAGUAAUCGUAGAUCAGCAUGCUACGGUGAAUACGUUCCCGGGUCUUGUACACACCGCCCGUCACACCACGAGAGUUUGUAACACCCGAAGCCGGUGGAGUAACCUUUUAGGAGCUA
RNAcentral lists this ribosomal RNA (1409 nucleotides) under Staphylococcus aureus. Its description in RNAcentral is "bacterial SSU rRNA". It matches the Rfam family "Bacterial small subunit ribosomal RNA". Lineage: Bacteria; Bacillati; Bacillota; Bacilli; Caryophanales; Staphylococcaceae. The record is from RNAcentral.